RNAcentral lists this long non-coding RNA (1089 nucleotides) under Numida meleagris (helmeted guineafowl). RNAcentral's name for it is "lncRNA (ENSNMEG00000019094.1)". The record is from RNAcentral. Lineage: Eukaryota; Metazoa; Chordata; Aves; Galliformes; Numididae.
AUGGAUAGCUGUGACAGUGGCCUCAGAACCACAGCAGAACGAGCCCCUCACUUCCUCCCUAGGAGAGCCGAACGCACCCUUUAUCUCCGCACUCUCUUUCUCCCACGGCUCCAGAGCCGAACCCUCCCUCCCCGCAGCCUUCCAGCCGCUGCCCACGGCUUUCUCGGGAACUUUAUCCCACAGGCGAGCUCUGCCCACGGCUGCUCGCACACCCCUUUGUUCGCCGCCCGCCCGCAGCAGGACGGGGCUGCUCCGGCUGCUGCUCCUGUCAGCCUCGGCUCCCAGCCCGCCUCAGCCCUCAGCCCGGGCUGCGCUGCCCCGCACGGCGCGGCUCCCCGGCCGGGCACGGCUCCCCGACUCACGCCGGCGAUCCCGAAGCCGAGCGAACAGCCAGGCGUCCCCCUGCUCCCCUCCCCCAGCACGGCUCCGCACAAAGCCCCCGGCCGCAGCCGCCCGCCCGUCGCUGUCACUCCGCUGCCCACCUCCACCAGGUACCGCCCCAACGGCCGCCAACCGCCCCAACGGCCCCAACGGCCGCCGAGCUGGGGGCCUCCCCUCCGCCGCUCGCUUACCUCCACCAGCGCCCCAGCGGCCGCUCCAGCCUCCCGGCGGCGCGGCACAACGCUGUACGGCGCGCCCCUCCUCUUCCUCCGAGCCGCUGGGCUCCCGCCCCCGGGCGCCGCCGUGCCAGGCCCGCGGCCAGCCCGCUCCACGAUGCCUCAGCCUGCCUGUGCUCUCCUGCCCGACUCCUUGACCCCUUCCGCCAGGCCCCGCCCCCUCGCCUUGUCCCGCCCCCGUCCGCCUCACGACCCGCCCCCUGCCCGCCUGCCAGCCCGACAUCUGGCGGCAAGUAGUCCUGGGCGGAGGGAGACGCCGUGCGGACUCUUCACCGCUCCUCCGCUUUGUCCCGCCGCCGUCGCCGCCGCUGGAGAGGGGCCGCCGACGGCCGGAGCCCCCGGCAGCGGAGCCCUGCAGGGGGCGGCAGCGCGGCUCUCGGCGGCGGGGCGCGGCCGCGGGGUUUGCCCGGGCGGGGCGGAGCGCCCUGAGGGGAAGUGGGGGGAGGCGGGAACAGCAAAACUUGAAAAAUAA